AAAGCCUGUCUCAGUUCGGAUUGGAGUCUGCAACCCGACUCCAUGAAGCUGGAUUCGCUAGUAAUCGCGCAUCAGCCACGGCGCGGUGAAUACGUUCCCGGGCCUUGUACACACCGCCCGUCAAGCCAUGGAAGCCGGGGGUGCCUGAAGUGCGCUGCCGCAAGGAGCGCCCUAGGGUAAAACCGGUGACUGGGGCUAAGUCGUAACAAGGUAUC
Molecule: ribosomal RNA, 215 nt
Filed under: uncultured bacterium
Lineage: Bacteria
Description: partial 16S ribosomal RNA
Rfam family: Bacterial small subunit ribosomal RNA
Source: RNAcentral